CGACCGGUGCUUGCACUGGUCAAUCUAGUGGCGAACGGGUGAGUAACACGUGGGUAACCUGCCCAUCAGAGGGGGAUAACAUUCGGAAACGGAUGCUAAAACCGCAUAGGUCUUCGAACCGCAUGGUUUGAAGAGGAAAAGAGGCGCAAGCUUCUGCUGAUGGAUGGACCCGCGGUGCAUUAGCUAGUUGGUGAGGUAACGGCUCACCAAGGCCGUGAUGCAUAGCCGACCUGAGAGGGUGAUCGGCCACAUUGGGACUGAGACACGGCCCAAACUCCUACGGGAGGCAGCAGUAGGGAAUCUUCCGCAAUGGACGCAAGUCUGACGGAGCAACGCCGCGUGAGUGAAGAAGGUUUUCGGAUCGUAAAACUCUGUUGUUAGAGAAGAACAAGUGCUAGAGUAACUGUUAGCGCCUUGACGGUAUCUAACCAGAAAGCCACGGCUAACUACGUGCCAGCAGCCGCGGUAAUACGUAGGUGGCAAGCGUUGUCCGGAUUUAUUGGGCGUAAAGCGAGCGCAGGCGGUUCCUUAAGUCUGAUGUGAAAGCCCCCGGCUCAACCGGGGAGGGUCAUUGGAAACUGGGGAACUUGAGUGCAGAAGAGGAGAGUGGAAUUCCAUGUGUAGCGGUGAAAUGCGUAGAUAUAUGGAGGAACACCAGUGGCGAAGGCGACUCUCUGGUCUGUAACUGACGCUGAGGCUCGAAAGCGUGGGUAGCAAACAGGAUUA
RNAcentral lists this ribosomal RNA (726 nucleotides) under uncultured Carnobacteriaceae bacterium. Its description in RNAcentral is "bacterial SSU rRNA". It matches the Rfam family "Bacterial small subunit ribosomal RNA", at positions 70 to 780 of the family's 1533-position model. Lineage: Bacteria; Bacillati; Bacillota; Bacilli; Lactobacillales; Carnobacteriaceae. The record is from RNAcentral.